This 243-nucleotide unclassified non-coding RNA is filed under the name Pomacea canaliculata. Its description in RNAcentral is "uDP-glucose:glycoprotein glucosyltransferase 2-like, transcript variant X2". Lineage: Eukaryota; Metazoa; Mollusca; Gastropoda; Architaenioglossa; Ampullariidae. The record is from RNAcentral.
ACAGGUCAAAGUAAAAUCAACGAGGGCCCAUCCAACACAAGCGAGACGAUGUUUCUACAAGACUUCAUCCCUCACAUGGCCAAGCACUAUGGUUUUGAGUAUGAACUUGUUCAGUACAAGUGGCCACGGUGGUUAAACCAGCAGAAAGAGAAACAGCGUGUCAUAUGGGGCUACAAGAUUCUGUUUCUGGAUGUGCUGUUUCCACUUGACGUUAAAAAAAUUAUAUUUGUUGAUGCUGAUCAG